Non-coding RNA from Pogona vitticeps (central bearded dragon), 2107 nucleotides. The record is from RefSeq and is a predicted model, not a curated record. Lineage: Eukaryota; Metazoa; Chordata; Lepidosauria; Squamata; Agamidae.
UCAAUUGCUCGCCCGAAGUAAUGGAAUCAAACAGAGAUGAGCAGACGGAGGAUUUUCCGUGGAAAGAAUAUAUAAAGAGCAAAAUGAGCAUAAAGUAAGACUUCAAAAAGUAUAAAUUCCACCACGAAACCCAUCAUUUGGGAUGAAAGGAAGACUGUUUUUCUCUCAAAAAAAUAAUGUCAGCCACCAACAGCACCACCGCUAAGUUUAGUUCUUUGCAACUUUAUUUUUUAAAAAUGAAAUAUUCAAAGUACUUUGUCUUUCAAAUGUCAACACAUCAUAUAUUAAGUUUUAACUAUCUACAGCCGGUCAUUGUCAUGGAUUGUAGAAAAGACAUGCUUCCAGUCUGAAAACCAGAGCAAAAAAAAAACGCAACAAAAUGUUUUCACGGCAGCUACUGAACACAAUCCUCUACCGUAUGGAGCCUCUGUUCAGAGCAGGAAUACAACACUGGAAUCUGUUGUUUCUAAGCAACAAAGCCCAGGCCAUUUCCGAUUACAAUUUCAGUAAGAUUAGAACUGUGGUUGUUAGACAGAAUGGAACAUCUUGGCAUACAUUGUAAACAUCAUUACUUCCCAUGAUAUUAUUAUUAUUAUUGAAAAAUAAACCUAGUACUUGAUAUAACACCAUAUGCUAGGCUUUGCUGAGUGUUUACCAACACCUUGUUUAUCAGUUCCAACAUUUUGUCAUGGAGAGUUGUGGGAUGUGAAAUAUCGUCAAGGACACACAUGGUUAUACUAGUGUUUAUUAAGAGGAUAACGUUCACCACUGAAUCUAAGAAAAGGUUGUAACUGGCAAACACAGUCUCUUCAACUGAUAAUAUUAGUGGCAAGAGCCAAGAACAAUCCAUAGUGAAGCUGAAUUCGAUGGCUACCAGUUUCUGUUCAAGAUCUGUGUAAGCCACCAUGCUGUAUGUUCGGAGGAGAAACUGCAGGAAUACAGCAGACUAUAGAAUGUAUAGACACAUUUUAUAGCACCCAUAAUCAUGUUAAAAUAUAUGUUCUUGUGAAACUCAGGUUCCUUAGCCGUCUCUUGGACUUUGUUACAAUAUCCCAUGUACAAUUACUAUUUUAUUCUGUUCAAUUUUUUUCCUUGUCUGCUGUCAAGUGGCCUCCUAGUUAUGGCAACCCCACGAAUGAACAAUCUCCAAAACGCCCUGUCCUCAACUGCCCUGCUCAGCUCUUGCAAACUGAAAUCCGUGGCUUCUUUACUGAGUCAAUCCAUCUUUUAUUUAGUCUUCCUCUUUUCCUGUUGCCUUCCACCUUUCAACUUCUUGCCUUCCAAGUUGUUACUGCCCUCAUUUCAAACAAGGAAGGGGAACCUGCACUCCUCCGGAGGCUGUUAGGUCAUAUCUUCCAUCAUUCCUCACCACUGACUCCGUUCAAUAGUACUGAUGAAAACUGUAACCUCUGGAGGGCCCACAUGGUGCCAAUCCUUGUUUUGGAAGGAGAGCCUUGGUAAGAUCAUGCUGCUGCUUCAUACCCCGACCCCUUUCUGGGGACCAAACGCCCCUUCGUUCACCCAGCUUAUUUUUCUCACUGAGUUUUUGACUCUUUCUUACAUCACUCUGACAGUUUCGGCCACCCCUGAGCAAACACUAUGGAGGAUGAUGCUUCUUACAGAAACUUCACUCAAUUGGGAACAACAACUGUGUAAGCUAUGCAGACGGUAUCAAUGACGUGCUACAUUUGCAGGAAGAAUACAAACUGACCCAAAUAUUCUACGGUUUCUGGGCAUUGUUUUUGCCUCCUGACCUUGGUUGGCCCCGACUGGCUUGUUCACCAGAAGGUCAGGGCACACUUUUGCUAUGAUUCUUCUAAGUUGCCACAAUGACAGAAAAUGAGUUUUAAGUAAAAAAAAAAAAAUGUAUACAGAUCAUGGAUUUUGUGCUUGCAGAUGCCAAUGAAAAACUUCAGAGGUUUUUUUCCACUGCUGGGUGAGGUUUUGACAGCUUGGGACAUUUUUUAAAAACAUUUCUUGUGAAAAACGCACAGAAUUAAAAUCUUGCAAUUGAGACAAACUCCUGUAUUUGCAAGGUUGAUGAUAACAAAUUAAAGGGUUUGUACUAAAAAGCAGACCUUUUUAAAACACAAAAAUAUGAUUUUGU